This 115-nucleotide ribosomal RNA is filed under the name Salvia splendens (bonfire salvia). Lineage: Eukaryota; Viridiplantae; Streptophyta; Magnoliopsida; Lamiales; Lamiaceae. The record is from RNAcentral.
GCAAUCAUACCAGCACUAAUGCACCGGAUCCCAUCAGAACUCUGAAAUUAAGCGUGCUUGGGCGAGAAUAGUACUAGGAUGGGUGACCCCCUGGGAAGUCCUCGUGUUGCACCCC